AGAAUAGUGACAUUCAAUUACCUCAUAUAUAAAGAGAGCUCCAUGGAGAGCUGGAAAGUGCAUGCCACUACAAUAUUAACACAUCCCAUCUUCCCUUUCUUUUUGCAAGGCUGUUGAAUUUCAGCCCGGCAUCCCCACACACUAACACCAUCAGGUCUUCCACAUUUGAUGGUUACACCACAGGAGCCCACACCAGACUGCUGCUUCCCUGUGAGCUCAGAGUGAAAUUGUUCUCAGGGGUAUUUGCAAGGCCUUGUCAUCAGUUAAAGACUAGCAGCUGACUCCAGGUGAUUCUACCCCGCUGUCACCUCUCCAAAGGGGAAAUUGAAUAGUGGUAUUGCUCACUGUGGUGAGUGUUCUUUGCACCACCAGAAGAAACUGGUUAAUGAAUGUACUAUUUAGAAGAAAAGUUUUGACAUUUAAAGAUUACUAGUUGUUCCCUUUCCCCAGGAAAAGAAGGUCAAAGUACAGUCUUCCCUGUUGCAGAGUUUGGAAUAACUCUGUUUGCCCUGAUGCUUUCCAGCAGGAGAACUGUAUUAUGUAGAGGGGUCCUUGGCCAGCAUCAAAGGAAAAAAAUUAUUUUUUUCCUAGACCUGUAUUUUUCCUAUUACAGUCUUCCAUUUAUUUCUUCCUCCAGAUUAAAAGUGCCUCUUCCUACCUCAUUCCUUAAUUAAGGUCAAUUUAGUGUUGGCUCAAAUGCUUUCAUCUCAAAAAUACCGGAAUUGAAUGGUAAUUUGGAUAAUUAAGUUAUCGUGCAUUUUAAGCAGCAUGUGUUUCCUUUUUCCGUGUGAGUUCCAUGAGCCUCUGCACUGCCGCUCUGCACUGCUGAACUGAUCACUGUGGGUCAUUCUGGCUCCUCUUCCUUCCUGUCAUCUACCUUUUGGCCAAUCUACUCUUCAUCAGGGGAAAGGAACAAACUUCAAAUCUGUGAGUUAUUCUUUCUGUCAGAAGCAACGUGCUAGAGAGAAUACAUGGGAUUUGAAGAUAAUCAGUGGACUCAUCUUUCUAUCCACAUGGUAACUAUGCCCUUGACAGGUGGUAUCAUUUCACAUCAUCAAUUGUCUUUGUUAAGUCCAUACUUAAUUGGUUUGACUCCAGGUUUUGAAAACAAGAUCGUAACAUUCAAAGGACUCUAUAUUCCAAUUCUCAGCUAGCACAACUAAUAAAGUUGCUGGACAGUAAAACUAGGCGCCAGUGCUGUGAUCCUUUAAGGAAGCCUUGAGUAUCGCAGCAGUUAAUGCUGGGUCCUAAGAGGAGAGGUCAGGAAUGAUUUGACCUUCUGAAUGCACCAAAUGUCCCACGUGACUUUCAGAUACACCAAGCAUCUUUUCAAGGAGAAAGCUUUUGAUGUUUAACAAAAGAAUUUCCAUCACUUAAUUCAAAUAUUUUUAAAACAGAAAGGAAAACACAUUCUCUGAAUUAAAGUCACCUUUGAAUCAUAUCCACAAGGAUUGUGUUACAGGGCAAAAUCCACCAACUGCCAGGAUAUGCCCGAGUCACCAUGGCUGGGAAGUGCUCAAGACUGGAACAUUUGUGUUUGAGACAAUGGAAUCUUUUUAUAAUGUUGGCUUUGGGAGAAGGGGUGACGGUCUUGCUUUACAACCAAGACUAUCUCAGACUUGGUCUGGAAGAAUUUACACUAAGACCUGUUAUAAAAUGGUGGCCUACUGUAUGAAUUCAAGUGAAACAGAAGCAGGUGAAGAUGCUGUGGAAGAGUCAGUGUGUGAGAGAGGUGGUCCAGAGUCACUUGCUGCUUAAGAACACUUUCCCAUUAGUUCCGGGUGAUGACUGCAUACAGCUCCUUUGGGAAGAAAAUGCCUCCCCCAGUGAGAAUCUGAUUAUAAUGGCUGACGUAUGGAUGGAUGUGUAGGCGCAGUGUGGUUCAACCUGUUUCCAUUGUGGUUGGAAAACUUUUUUAAAAGUCCACUCCAAAACAUGAAAAGUCGUAGUGUUAGGAAGAUUUAUUUCCAAACAGUGGCCUCCACACUGCGCGGCAGCACUUCUUUUUAGUAUUUGUAAGCUUUUGCCCACUUUCAAUUGAGCCAGCCCUAGCGUGGUAUGUAUUGCAUGCUGAACAAUAUAGAGUUUGUUUUUCCUUUCUGAUGAUUUUAAACUCUUAAAGAACAGGAAAGCAUCUGGUAAGAAGAAAUCAUGAGUCCGUCAGUGCCCUUACUCAUAUGCGUCUCCAGUGGCCUCAUGUUGUGGUCACAGGAGUUUCCUGUUCACAGCAAUGUGUGUGAUAUGGACCCAGCAUCCACUGUCGUGCUUUUAAACUGAUUCCUGGGACAUAGCUUACCACUGGAACAGCAGACCAGUGUUGCACUGUUUCUAAAGCUAAGCUUUUCCUUAUUUAUUUUGGUACUACCUAAGUGACUUGGUUUUGACUGUCCCUAAGAGAGGGAACCACUUUGCUGAAUUUUUAAAAAGUCCAACUGCUCUUUCAUCUUUUAUGCUUAGAAACCUGUUCUCUCCAGAUGCACUUCUGAGGCAUGGAUGAGCUGAGCGUAUGGCUAGAAAUUGGAAGUUUACAGCUAUUACCAGGGGGCUAACUCCCGGGGCAUCGCAGUAGCUUCUGGCACCCGUGGCUUCAUGUCUUUAGCAAAGUCUUGAUGUCAUGGAAAGAGAAAAAGUGUAUGCAGUUAGUUACCUGAUUUUGUAAACAAACAGUGGCUGACCUGGGCCCUUAAAUCACCUUCACACCUUUUAGAACCACAAGUGGUUCUUUUUGACUCCAACAAAGGAAACGAAGUUGAAAAAGUCAAGCCCCUGUGUACUGGGGCCGGACUUCCCAUCAUUUGAGUGCAGCACUUUAGUUCAGAAUCUCUGUGCCAUGUGGUUUUUUAAACAGGAAGAUUGUUGGUUCCUUAGUAUUAAGAUAGAUAGUCCCUAUUUUGAGUGGAAUUUUUCAUUUGUAAGGGGUAUGUUCCUUCUCUGAUUCUUGCUUUCCUCAAACAGGAUACUGCCUGCUGUAAGACCAUCCUCUAUGGUUGUACUUUAAUAAACAGUAAUUUUUUUUUACC
This 3020-nucleotide long non-coding RNA is filed under the name Homo sapiens (human). Its description in RNAcentral is "non-protein coding lnc-BCL2L13-3:1". Lineage: Eukaryota; Metazoa; Chordata; Mammalia; Primates; Hominidae. The record is from RNAcentral.